Long non-coding RNA from Hippocampus zosterae (dwarf seahorse), 1252 nucleotides. RefSeq lists it as uncharacterized. Lineage: Eukaryota; Metazoa; Chordata; Actinopteri; Syngnathiformes; Syngnathidae. The transcript is spliced from 3 exons. The record is from RefSeq and is a predicted model, not a curated record.
CUCCCGGCUCCCUCGCGGUCACUGGCUCCCCUGCAGUCGUCGCUGGUUUCCUCUCGGUCGUCUCUCGCUCCCUUGCGGUCGUCGUUGGCUCUCUCACGGUGGUCGCAGGCUGGUUGUCUCCAGGCUUCCUCACGGUCGCUGGGUUCCCUGCAGUCGUCGCUGGCUUCCUCGCGGUCAUCACUGGCUCCCUCACGGUCGGUCGUCGCUGGCUGCCUCGCGGUCGGUCGGUCUUGAAAAAGUUAUUGUCCGGGUCCAAGUUGUUCUCAGGGUCAAACGUCUUGUGGUCAGUAGGGUUGGAGGUCAUCAAAGGGUUGGAAGGGUCAUCAAAGGAUUCGAAGUCCAUGUUUUUUGGUAUGUGAAUUUCCUGCUUCAGUAGGGUCAGAGUUUUUAUUGUCAGUAGGGUUGGAGGUCAUCAAAGGGUUGGAAGGGUCAUCAAAGGAUUCGAAGUCCAUGUUUUUUGGUAUGUGAAUUUCCUGCUUCAGUAGGGUCAGAGUUUUUAUUGUCAGUAGGGUUGGAGGUCAUCAAAGGGUUGGAAGGGUCAUCAAAGGAUUCGAAGUCCAUGUUUUUUGGUAUGUGAAUUUCCUGCUUCAGUAGGGUCAGAGUUUUUAUUGUCAGGUGGUGAAAAAUUCUUAGUAUGCUGCUUGAUGGUGUUGAACUCGAGCAUGUUGUGUUGGAGUACUGGUGCGGGGGUGGACAAUAAGUUUGUUAUGUCUUAAGUAGGCAGUUUCCCCUCUGUCACGUGCAGCUUUUAAUUUUGGGAGGAGCUCUUUUCUUUUUUGUCGUACGGCAUCUGUAAAGUCUUCGUUAAUGUAGAUGUUGGAGCCUUUUAAAUAUUUUGCAUUUUGUAGGAUCCUUGAUCUGUCCUUGUAUCUUAGAAAUUUCACCACAACUGGCCUUGGUCGAGGUCUUCCAGGGUCUUGUCUUCCUGUGCGGUGAGCUCUCUCCACCUCAAUUUGCCCCUGUAUCAGCAGUUUCUCCUUAAGGAUUUUUUGAACUUUUUCCUCUGUUUCAGUCCACGUUUCUCCCGGUUUUUCCUCAAUUCCAUCAAUUACUAAGUUGUUUCUUCUUGACUGUCCUUCCAAGUAGUCCACCUUGUCCGUUAAUACAAGCAUGCCGUCACAUACUUUGUAGAAUUCCGUUUGCAUGUCUUUGGAAUGGCCAGUUUGACAGAUUAGAUUUUUUUUAAUGUCGUCUACCUCUUUUUGGGUAAAGUUGAUGCUGGUUUUUAUUUCUUGGACUUCCCUGGUAAAAG